GCGGGAAUAGCUCAGUUGGUAGAGCAUAACCUUGCCAAGGUUGGGGUCGCGAGUUCGAGUCUC
This 63-nucleotide transfer RNA is filed under the name Acinetobacter baumannii 1064293_46. Its description in RNAcentral is "partial tRNA-Gly". It matches the Rfam family "tRNA", at positions 1 to 61 of the family's 71-position model. Rfam says of the family: Transfer RNA (tRNA) molecules are approximately 80 nucleotides in length. Their secondary structure includes four short double-helical elements and three loops (D, anti-codon, and T loops). Lineage: Bacteria; Pseudomonadati; Pseudomonadota; Gammaproteobacteria; Moraxellales; Moraxellaceae. The record is from RNAcentral.